AACGCCCAAUAUGCAGGAUACACAAACAAGGAACCUCCUCAUGACUUAACCUGGCAGCUCUACAAAAGAACAAGCAAGAACCACAAAGAAAAAAAACAGACAGAACACAAGGAGCAGAACUAAUGGUCUCAUAAUGGCUAUAUUCAGGCUUACAAAUGUUAAGGUACCUUCAAAGGAGGCUAGAUGGAUUUCAGGAGGCCAAUAAAUGUUGCACAGAGCCACCCCUGAAAAGCAUGUGAAACGUGGACAGAAGACAAGCAUAUUUGGAAUGGGGUGAUUAUUCUGAGUUUCCUGUCUUACACUCCCUGAUCUCUUUUCUGGAAUAUAUAGUCAUCUGAAACUUUAGAGCUGCAAUAGGACGUCCUCCAUAUUUCUCAGACUCAUAUUGCAUGACUUGCUUUGAAAAAGAAAAAAUCCACAGAAUAAUCAACAUAAUGCUUUUGCUGUAAGGUUUGUCUCUGACAGGGAUAGGAGCAAAGUAUGCCUGCCUUAGUAUGUUCCAUAGAAUGCAAAGACACAGAAGCAGACCUGAAGUUCAC
This is a non-coding RNA of Peromyscus maniculatus bairdii (prairie deer mouse), 539 nucleotides long. The record is from RefSeq and is a predicted model, not a curated record. NCBI's taxonomy places the organism in Eukaryota, Metazoa, Chordata, Mammalia, Rodentia, Cricetidae.